RNAcentral lists this ribosomal RNA (105 nucleotides) under Candidatus Nitrosopumilus sp. RNAcentral describes it as "Nitrosopumilus sp. partial 23S ribosomal RNA". It matches the Rfam family "Archaeal large subunit ribosomal RNA", at positions 2882 to 2987 of the family's 2987-position model. The record is from RNAcentral. Lineage: Archaea; Thermoproteati; Nitrososphaerota; Nitrososphaeria; Nitrosopumilales; Nitrosopumilaceae.
AUGAAGGUCGGCAGCAGAAUACUGCGUUGAUAGGAAGGUGGUGUAGAUCACAAGCUUCGGCGAGUGGUGAGCCAGCCUUUACUAAUAGACCAACACAUCAGUUCA